Molecule: small nucleolar RNA, 132 nt
Organism: Bos indicus x Bos taurus (hybrid cattle)
Lineage: Eukaryota; Metazoa; Chordata; Mammalia; Artiodactyla; Bovidae
Source: Ensembl
GGGGCAUGCUCAGAGCCGGGGGCCUGAAGAAAUGGCUCGUCUCUUUACAACACACCCAACAGGAACUUGGGUUCUUUGUGAAGAUGGGUGCAAAACUUGUGCGGCCUUGCUAUGAACAAAUACCUGACACAU